CUAGUGGUUCCUGCUAGUCAGUGUGGCUCUCUCAGUGGAAAAGUUGGCUGCAAGAUCAAGGAAAUAUGAGAGAGUACAGGGGCUCAGGUCCAGGUGGCAGGGGAUAUGCUACCCAACUCAACUGAGCGGGCCAUCACUAUUGCUGGCAUUCUGCAAUCCAUCGUUGAGUGUGUCAAACAGAUCUGCGUGGUCAUGUUGGAGACUCUCUCCCAGUCCCCCCCAAAGGGCGUGACCAUCCCAUACCGGCCCAAGCUGUCCAGUUCUCCAGUCAUCUUUGCAGGUAGUCAGGCCUAUACCAUUCAAGGACAGUAUGCCAUUCCACAGCCACAUUUGACCAAGCUGCACCAGUUGGCAAUGCAACAGUCUCAUUUUCCCAUGACGCAUGGCAACACCGGAUUCAGUGGCAUUGAAUCUAGCUCUCCAGAGGUGAAAGGCUACUGGGCAGAUUUGGAUGCAUCUGCUCAGACGACUUCUCAUGAACUCACCAUUCCAAAUGAUUUGAUUGGCUGCAUCAUCGGGCGUCAGGGCGCCAAAAUCAAUGAGAUCCGUCAGAUGUCUGGGGCGCAGAUCAAAAUUGCAAACCCAGUGGAAGGAUCUACUGACAGGCAGGUUACCAUCACUGAAUCUGCUGCUAGCAUUAGCCUGGCUCAAUAUCUAAUCAAUGUCAGGCUUUGCUCGGAGACGGGUGGCAUGGGGAGCAGCUAGAACAAUGCAGAUUCAUCCAUUAUCCCUUUCUGCUGUUCACCACCACCCAUGAUCCAUCUGUGUAGUUUCUGAACAGUCAGGGAUUCCAGAUUUUAAAUAGUUUGUAAAUUUUCAGUUUCUACACACUUUAUCAUCCACUCAUGAUUUUUUAAUUAAAGCGUUUUAAUUCCUUUCUCUGUUCA
Otolemur garnettii (small-eared galago) is the source of this 887-nucleotide RNA transcript. It is a transcript of the gene named poly(rC)-binding protein 2 pseudogene, with no coding region annotated. NCBI's taxonomy places the organism in Eukaryota, Metazoa, Chordata, Mammalia, Primates, Galagidae. The transcript has a single exon. The record is from RefSeq and is a predicted model, not a curated record.